Molecule: ribosomal RNA, 447 nt
Filed under: uncultured bacterium
Lineage: Bacteria
Description: bacterial SSU rRNA
Rfam family: Bacterial small subunit ribosomal RNA
Source: RNAcentral
UACCAGACUCCUACGGGAGGCAGCAGUGGGGGAUAUUGCACAAUGGGGGAAACCCUGAUGCAGCGACGCCGCGUGAGUGAAGAAGUAUUUCGGUAUGUAAAGCUCUAUCAGCAGGGAAGAAAAUGACAGUACCUGACCAAGAAGCCCCGGCUAACUCCGUGCCAGCAGCCGCGGUAAUACGGAGGAUGCGAGCGUUAUCCGGAUUUAUUGGGUUUAAAGGGUGCGCAGGCGGAGGUGCAAGUUAGCGGUCAAAUUGCGGGGCUCAACCCCGGACUGCCGUUGAAACUGCAGCCCUUGAGUGCGCGAGAAGUAUGCGGAAUGCGUGGUGUAGCGGUGAAAUGCAUAGAGAUCACGCAGAACUCCGAUUGCGAAGGCAGCAUACCGGCGCGCAACUGACGCUCAUGCACGAAAGCGUGGGUAUCGAACAGGAUUAGAUACCCCGGUACG